GUCCUUUCUUAGUUCAUGAGUGUAGUGAUUGGGUUUUCACAUUCAUGUGUGAGAUGUGACGCCUUCAGUCCUCAAAUAUUGGCACAUUAUCACUCUGAUA
Molecule: small nucleolar RNA, 100 nt
Organism: Nycticebus coucang (slow loris)
Lineage: Eukaryota; Metazoa; Chordata; Mammalia; Primates; Lorisidae
Product: small nucleolar RNA U13
Exons: 1
Source: RefSeq, a predicted model, not a curated record